UACGGAGGGUGCGAGCGUUGUCCGGAAUCAUUGGGCGUAAAGCGCGCGUAGGCGGCCCUGUAAGUCCGUUGUGAAAGUCAAAGGCUCAACCUUUGAAAGCCGAUGGAUACUGCAGGGCUAGAGUCCGGAAGAGGCGAGUGGAAUUCCUGGUGUAGCGGUGGAAUGCGCAGAUAUCAGGAGGAACACCAAUAGCGAAGGCAGCUCGCUGGGACGGUACUGACGCUAAGGCGCGAAAGCGUGGGGAGCGAACAGG
Molecule: ribosomal RNA, 253 nt
Filed under: uncultured bacterium
Lineage: Bacteria
Description: partial 16S ribosomal RNA
Rfam family: Bacterial small subunit ribosomal RNA
Source: RNAcentral